GUGCUUGCUUCGGCAGCACAUAUGCUACAACUGGAACGAUAUAGAGAAGAUUAGCAUGGCCCCUGCGCAAGGAUGACACACAGGAUGGAUUUUGCUAAGGUUGU
This is a small nuclear RNA of Octodon degus (degu), 104 nucleotides long. Lineage: Eukaryota; Metazoa; Chordata; Mammalia; Rodentia; Octodontidae. The record is from Ensembl.